GAGCGGCCGAUGUCAGAUUAGGUAGUUGGUGGGGUAAAGGCCUACCAAGCCGACGAUCUGUAGCUGGUCUGAGAGGACGACCAGCCACACUGGGACUGAGACACGGCCCAGACUCCUACGGGAGGCAGCAGUGGGGAAUUUUGGACAAUGGGGGAAACCCUGAUCCAGCCAUGCCGCGUGCGGGAAGAAGGCCUUCGGGUUGUAAACCGCUUUUGUCAGGGAAGAAACGCGCUGAGCUAAUACCUCGGCGUAAUGACGGUACCUGAAGAAUAAGCACCGGCUAACCACGUGCCAGCAGCCGCGGUAAUACGUAGGGUGCAAGCGUUAAUCGGAAUUACUGGGCGUAAAGCGUGCGCAGGCGGUUGUGCAAGACAGAUGUGAAAUCCCCGGGCUUAACCUGGGAACUGCAUUUGUGACUGCACAGCUGGAGUGCGGCAGAGGGGGAUGGAAUUCCGCGUGUAGCAGUGAAAUGCGUAGAUAUGCGGAGG
Molecule: ribosomal RNA, 488 nt
Filed under: uncultured Pseudomonadota bacterium
Lineage: Bacteria; Pseudomonadati; Pseudomonadota
Description: bacterial SSU rRNA
Rfam family: Bacterial small subunit ribosomal RNA
Source: RNAcentral